RNAcentral lists this ribosomal RNA (253 nucleotides) under uncultured bacterium. Its description in RNAcentral is "partial 16S ribosomal RNA". It matches the Rfam family "Bacterial small subunit ribosomal RNA", at positions 524 to 776 of the family's 1533-position model. The record is from RNAcentral.
UACAGAGGUCUCAAGCGUUGUUCGGAUUCAUUGGGCGUAAAGGGUGCGUAGGCGGCGCGGUAAGUCGGGUGUGAAAUCUCGGAGCUUAACUCCGAAACUGCAUUCGAUACUGCCGUGCUUGAGGACUGGAGAGGAGACUGGAAUUUACGGUGUAGCGGUGAAAUGCGUAGAUAUCGUAAGGAAGACCGGUGGCGAAGGCGGGUCUCUGGACAGUUCCUGACGCUGAGGCACGAAGGUCAGGGGAGCAAACGGG